UAAUACCGGAUAAGAAAGACAGAUCGCAUGAUCAGCUUUUAAAAGACGGCGUAAGCUGUCGCUAUGGGGAUGGCCCGCGGUGCAUUAGCUAGUUGGUAAGGUAAAGGGCUUACCAAGGCGAUGAUGCAUAGCCCGAGUUGAGAGACUGAUCGGCCACAUUGGGGACUGAGACACGGGCCCAAACUCCUACGGGGGGCAGCAGUAGGGAAUCUUCCACAAUGGACGCAAGUCUGAUGGAGCAAACGCCGCGUGAGUGAAGAAGGUUUUCGGAUCGUAAAGCUCUGUUGUUGGUGAAGAAGGAUAGAGGUAGUAACUGGCCCUUUAUUUGACGGUAAUCAACCAGAAAGUCACGGGCUAACUACGUGCCAGCAGCCGCGGUAAAU
This 383-nucleotide ribosomal RNA is filed under the name uncultured Lactobacillus sp. RNAcentral describes it as "bacterial SSU rRNA". It matches the Rfam family "Bacterial small subunit ribosomal RNA", at positions 164 to 525 of the family's 1533-position model. The record is from RNAcentral. Lineage: Bacteria; Bacillati; Bacillota; Bacilli; Lactobacillales; Lactobacillaceae.